Molecule: ribosomal RNA, 253 nt
Filed under: uncultured bacterium
Lineage: Bacteria
Description: partial 16S ribosomal RNA
Rfam family: Bacterial small subunit ribosomal RNA
Source: RNAcentral
UACGUAGGGGGCAAGCGUUGUCCGGAUUUAUUGGGCGUAAAGCGCACGCAGGCGGUCUCUUAAGUUUUGAGUGACAGGUGGUGGCUCAACUACCACAGGGCUUGGAAAACUGGGAGACUUGAGGACUUCAGAGGGAUGCGGAAUUCCAGGUGGAGCGGUGAAAUGCGUAGAUAUAGGAAGGAACACCAGUGGCGAAGGCGACCACCUGGACUGAUACUGACACUGAGGUGCGAAAGCGUGGGGAGCAAACAGG